CAUGGGCGAAGCCUGAUGCACCCAUGCCGCGUGAAUGAUGAAGGCCUUCGGGUUGUAAAGCUCUUUUAGUUGGGAAGAAAGGGAGUUGUCCUAUAAGAUAAUGUUUUGACCGUACCGUGGGAAUAAGCCCCGGUAAACUUUGGGCCAGCAGGCGGGGAAUCA
RNAcentral lists this ribosomal RNA (162 nucleotides) under uncultured Nitrosomonas sp. RNAcentral's name for it is "partial 16S ribosomal RNA". It matches the Rfam family "Bacterial small subunit ribosomal RNA", at positions 370 to 527 of the family's 1533-position model. The record is from RNAcentral. Lineage: Bacteria; Pseudomonadati; Pseudomonadota; Betaproteobacteria; Nitrosomonadales; Nitrosomonadaceae.